UUUUGCCUAUCUGCAAUGAAAUCAGUGGCUAUACUUGGAGCACAUCCACAGCGUUGACAAGGUCUGAACUAUACCAACUUUGCAACAGAUAAACAUGAAUAAACCCUACUCUGCUGUAAGGUAAUGUAACCAAAGAUGACAACCACUACUCUGCAAAUACACCAUGCAAUAUUCCUUCCAUGCCCAGCUAAUUGUCUUCAGUUUAGCCAAGGCAGAAAACAUUUUUUUGCUGCAAAAUGAAACCACUACAUGAAAGCUAUAUUUUGUUCAAAACAGAGCUGGUCCACUACACCAAAGUCAUGCUGGCAAGGACACAUCAAAACCAAACUUGCCAGCCCCUCGCUCUCUUACUUGUUUGUGUCAAUCAGUUUGGAGAUUUUUAACAUUUGAGUUAUGUUUAUCUGAACUGGUUUUCAAGGUCUAAUUAUAACAUGUGUAGCAGGGUGAGAUUGCUGCUAUGAAAGUUGAAACAUAAAUAAAGAGGACUUGACGGGCUGACUGAUAUGUUGGCACAGACCAGACAUGUAUGUCACGUGGAAGCCCAGUGCAGCUGUUGUAUUCCGUGGUACAAUAAAUAGCUGUGGGGAAGCAGCACGGUCAUGCGGGAUUUUUUAAUACCACCUACUGUGCUACUUGGCCAAAUGUACUUGCCUUACAGGAAAACAGGCAGUAUCUGAAGUUUAAAUGCAGAAGAGUGACGGUCCUGGCAGAACAAGGACUGUACAUUUUGAAGGCUCUGCGGGAGAACAUGGCAUGGUUGCCUGCCUCCCUUAUCCCAUCCUCCUUUCACACAGUCCCACACAGAUGACCCAAGCCCAACUUUCCGCUCAGUAAAACCAACAGAGCAUGUGUUCUCACCUCUUUGAGCUGGAAGAGUGUGCCAUACACAAUAAAGUGCACAAUCUCUCCUCCUGUUGCAGGAGAGAGCCACUGCAUGCAAGGAACAUGCCUGGCAGAACUCAAAAGAUGGAUGUCUCAGGAAACUGUACAGAGGCUUCAGAGGACAUGCCUGUUGUAUCUCUUACCAUACCUAGAUGGAGGUGUGCUCCUAAUCAAGUCUGGGGAACGAGCCUUCACAGCAACACAACUACUGCGAUCUUCAGCUACAGAGGCACUGCCCAGCCCAAACUGUAGAAAACUGGGGAGGAACAAACCCUCGUUUUGCCCGACUUGUCUCCAAGCUGCUUUUCCCCAACCGUUUUCUCACCUCUUCUGUUUCCUAUUUGAAUAAACUGCAGAUAACUUAAGGUUAUCUGGUAUGUUUUGAAAAUGUGUUGACAGUGGAAAUCAGGAACACGUUAAAUAAACGUGUCUCAG
RNAcentral lists this long non-coding RNA (1317 nucleotides) under Falco tinnunculus (common kestrel). RNAcentral's name for it is "lncRNA (ENSFTIG00000011255.1)". The record is from RNAcentral. Lineage: Eukaryota; Metazoa; Chordata; Aves; Falconiformes; Falconidae.